This 568-nucleotide small RNA is filed under the name Pongo abelii (Sumatran orangutan). RNAcentral's name for it is "processed transcript". Lineage: Eukaryota; Metazoa; Chordata; Mammalia; Primates; Hominidae. The record is from RNAcentral.
GAGUGACUCAGCUUCUGUCUCUCGAGCUGGGCUUUUCCGUCAGGGCCUGUGGCUGGGAUUCUCCUUUGAAAGCCACCUGACCUCCAUGUACCUGAACACCCCGGCGCUCGCUCUGCCUGUAGCCAGGACGCAGCUCCCAGGCCCUGGUCUGCGCUCAUUUCAUCCUCUGGCUUCCUCACUGCCCUGUGACUUCCACCUGCUCAACCUACGUACGCUCCAGGCUGAGGAGGACACCCUACCCUCGGCGGAGACCGCACUCAUCUUACACCGCAAGGGUUUUGACUGCGGCCUGGAGGCCAAGAACUUGGGCUUCAACUGCACCACAAGCCAAGGCAAGGUAGCCCUGGGGAGCCUGUUCCAUGGCCUGGAUGUGGUAUUCCUUCAGCCAACCUCCUUGACAUUACUGUACCCUCUGGCCUCCCCGUCCAACAGCACUGAUGUCUAUUUGGAGCCCAUGGAGAUUGCUACCUUUCGCCUCCGCUUGGGUUAGGGCUUCUUGUGGCCUGAAGAGGAAGUUCAUUCACAGAGACUGCCUCUUAACAUGAAGAUCAUUGGACAAGCCACACGG